GGGGUGGUGGUGCAGUUGGCUAGCGCGUAGGUCUCAUAAUCCUGAGGUCGAGAGUUCGAGCCUCUCUCACCCCA
Molecule: transfer RNA, 74 nt
Filed under: Nicotiana tabacum (common tobacco)
Lineage: Eukaryota; Viridiplantae; Streptophyta; Magnoliopsida; Solanales; Solanaceae
Also listed under: 1 other name
Description: tRNA-Met (CAT) (tRNA-Met-CAT-4-1)
Rfam family: tRNA
About the family: Transfer RNA (tRNA) molecules are approximately 80 nucleotides in length.
Source: RNAcentral